This 119-nucleotide ribosomal RNA is filed under the name Lepisosteus oculatus (spotted gar). Lineage: Eukaryota; Metazoa; Chordata; Actinopteri; Semionotiformes; Lepisosteidae. The record is from RNAcentral.
GCCAGCAGCCAUAUCACUCUGCAACUCACAACUGGCAACCCACUGAAGCUCAGCAGGUGUGAGCCUGGUCAGUACCUGGAUGGGAGACCUCCUGGGAAAAACUAAGGUUUCUGCUGGAA